This 117-nucleotide transfer RNA is filed under the name Araneus ventricosus. It matches the Rfam family "tRNA". Rfam says of the family: Transfer RNA (tRNA) molecules are approximately 80 nucleotides in length. Their secondary structure includes four short double-helical elements and three loops (D, anti-codon, and T loops). Lineage: Eukaryota; Metazoa; Arthropoda; Arachnida; Araneae; Araneidae. The record is from Rfam by way of RNAcentral.
GUCAGAAUGGCCGAGCGGUCUAAGGCGCCAGACUCAAGGAAGUUCCUUGUCCUGCAGCAGGGCGAUGAGAGUUCUGGUCCACGAAUGUGGGCGUGGGUUCGAAUCCCACUUCUGACA